Molecule: unclassified non-coding RNA, 148 nt
Filed under: uncultured Mortierella
Lineage: Eukaryota; Fungi; Mortierellomycota; Mortierellomycetes; Mortierellales; Mortierellaceae
Description: sequence contains ITS1
Source: RNAcentral
UAAUCAAGUGUUUUUAUGGCACUUUCAAAAAUCCAUAUCCACCUUGUGUGCAAUGUCAGUCGAUCUUCUUCAUGGAGGUCGGCCAAACAUCAACCUUUAUUUUUUAACUCUUUGUCUGAAAAAUAUUAUGAAUAAACAAUUCAAAAUA